This 477-nucleotide ribosomal RNA is filed under the name uncultured bacterium. RNAcentral's name for it is "partial 16S ribosomal RNA". It matches the Rfam family "Bacterial small subunit ribosomal RNA", at positions 28 to 507 of the family's 1533-position model. The record is from RNAcentral.
GAUUAACGCUGGCGGCGUGCAUAACACAUGCAAGUCGAACGAUGAAACUUAAAUGAUUUCUUCGGAAUGAACUUAAGUGGAUUAGUGGCGGACGGGUGAGUAACGCGUGAGUAACCUGCCUUACACAAGGGGAUAGCCGUUGGAAACGACGAAUAAUACCCUAUGAAACUAUCACUUCGCAUGAAGCGAUAGUCAAAGUGUUAGCGGUGUAAGAUGGACUUGCGUCUGAUUAGCUAGUUGGUGAGAAAAAAGCCCACCAAGGCAACGAUCAGUAGCCGGCGGGAGAGAGGGUACGGUGGGAUUGGGAUUGGGACACGGCUCAGACUCCUACGGGCGGCAGCAGUGGGGAAUUAUGCACAAUGGGGGAAAUGCUGAUGCGGCGACGCCGCGUGAUUGAGAAGGCCUUCGGGUUGUAAAAAUCUUUUGUAUAGGAAGAAAAUGACAGUACUAUACGAAUAAGGGCCGGCUAAUUACGUG